This 347-nucleotide long non-coding RNA is filed under the name Setaria viridis. Its description in RNAcentral is "long non-coding RNA (SVIR_LNC010677)". The record is from RNAcentral. Lineage: Eukaryota; Viridiplantae; Streptophyta; Magnoliopsida; Poales; Poaceae.
AUGAGAUAAGUACUUUGAAGGAUACAUGCUGCAAUAAUAGAUGUUAGCUUAGAGAAGUUCCGCAGCUUCAAUCUGGCAAGCUAUAUUUACGUGCUGAGGUAAGCUAUAUUAUUAGCUGAGCGCUUGUUUUGCGGACACCCGGACCUUCGAUGGUUCAUGGUUGAAAGAGUACUCUAGAAGAGGGUCACGCUUGCAUGCGAGGGUUCCGCAGUGUUAUACGCGAUGGCGGAGGAACGACGAAGUAAACAAGAUCAAUCGCAGAGAGACACGAGAUUUAACGUGGAAAACCCUCCCAAUGCAAGAGGGAAAAACCACGGGCGCCAGCCAGCAACAAUCUUCACUAUAUC